AAGGACUAAGAACUUUGGAAAGAGUAGCAUUCAACGGAUUUUCAUCUUCAUCUUUGUCUCCACCCCACUGGCAGCAGCUUCACAAAUCUUGUUCCAGCAACGGUAAGAAAUGAGUAAAGGUAUCAAGACCCACCAUCCAUUAGCACCAAUGUAGUAAGAGUAAUAGUAGAAAGAGCUUGUCGCAAAGUUAUCUCCUUCCAGAAAAGCAGUAGUGAAAUAGACAAGACAUCCGUAGAGCUGACCAAGCGAAAUCGCAAGCUGAAGCACGUAGCUGUAAGACUUCCCUUUAGCAAUAGCAUAUCUUUUUAUUAUCCAAACAAAAAAAAAUUCAACUACUUUUAGUUAAGUGUCAAGAAAUAUUAACAAAAAAAAGAAAAGAUGUUGGGUUGAGAGAAGAGGAGGUAAUAAGACUUUUACAGAGCAAGAAGAGAAGCAGGGCCUUCUAUAACAGCAGUGAUCCCUUCAACAGCUACCACUGCGGAGUCUCUGCCUGCGUAUCUCGAAUCACCUUUGCUGUAUUCUUUCCCUGUCAAUAUAAACAAGUCAACAUAACAGAUAACGUGUAAUCAGACAAGAAGAAGAUGUAUUACUUACAGACUUCAGCGAGGUAACAAGAAGUGUUGUCCUUGAAAAACUCAGGGGAGAAAACGAAAUAGCCUUCAAGAACCAAGUGAGUGAGACCGGUGAAUGCCCACCAGCACAUUAGCAAUAUCUCAAGCUUCGCUUUCUUUCUCCCUACCACGCACGAAUCACAACAAUAGAAUUGUAAUUCUCUGAUGAGUUCACUAGAUUACUCUGAUCUGCUCAACUUUUCAAUUGAAUUUGCCAGGAAGAGAAGGGGACUGGAUUUUACCAAAGAGGAACCAGACUAAGGAGACGACGAAGAGGGAAGAAGCGAGGUAGACAGAGAGGAUGGAUGACAUGGACAUGGAGAUAUUGGUACGUAUCCCGGCAGUUUCAGAUCGCUUGGAACGUAUGGAUGCGCCGCCGCUUCUUCCAUGGCUGUCACUUUGAUUGGCUGUUUGAAUCUAUAUCACGUUUCAGCAUUGCCUGUGGCCAAUUUAAAUUUUGGAUAAUUCAGAGAAAUAGUGUUUGUAAAUUUUUUUGUUUUUUUGUUUUUUGUGUGUGCGCAACAACAGAGAAGUAAAUCAUAAGCUGAAAUAUAGAGAAGUAAAAGGAGCUGAAGAUCCAAGAUAAACAAUAAAAAAGAAAUGACAAUGUUUUAAUCAGAAAGCGAAAACAAAAGAGAAUACGACCCGAGAACCUCCGGUAAGAAAACCCUAGCUCCGGCCCGCCGCCUUUGACGGUGCCGGAGGCGAUUUCGUCAACCCUCUCUCUCAUUUGCUCUUUGCUCUCUUUUUCCUCCUCCAUUUCCAAGUCGAUAUGCAAUUUGCUCUGUAACUCUCGAGUUCCACCGGUGAUGCUUCGGUUUCAACGGAGGCCGGACUUGUUUUCUUAUGGAGAAAAGGCGAGGCUCAAGAUACGGCAGAGGAAUGGUGAGUCGGCUUUUAGGACUGAUGAUUAAGUCAGAUCUGGUUUUCCCGUUUCAGAUCUCCGACGGAAUCAUCACGGAGACGGCGCGUGCUCUGGUGAGUCGCCUCAUCUACCACAGAUCUACUUUCCCAGGAGGCGGUGAGGCUGAUGGAAGAGUUGUUCAACGAGUGGGUUAGAAGACUGUCCUCUGUCUCUUGGGGGUUCGUGGUGAUGUUCCAACAUCCCACCAUCGACGACGAGCCUCAGGUUCUGUCCGGCGGUGGAGGUUUAAACUGUUGAAAGAUUUGAUUAGUUGGAUGAGUUCGUCGCUUCCCGUCAUCAAGGUCCGUUUUUGUAGUUUCUGUUUGUUCUGGACGUUUGGUCACCCAUGGUUUGUGAUAGGUGUUGCUGGUGACUAUGGUAUAGUUUGGGAAGCGCCUUAGGGUGAUGAAAUCAUUGGUACUUGGUCUGAAUUCAAUCUCUUGGAGACUAACGGCCCGUCUAGGAAUGGUUUCGGGAUUAGACUUGUCCUGUCUACUAGUAUAUUUAUUUUCUUAGCGGCAUGCCAGUUCCAGUGCGAGAAGUUUCUGUGUUUGGUGUUUGACGGGUUCAGUGGCAGACUUCUCCUUUUAUGGUGGUGAUUGCAGUGAGCUUUCGUCGGUCGGAGUGUUAAUGAAUGUUAUGGGUUUGGAUCGUCGAGGCUUGGUUGUGUGAAGGGUUAUGGUGAGCUUCUAUCUAGGUGUAAAGUGGACGUCAGAGAGUGCGUUCAAACCGUAUCCGAAAGUUGUGUGGAUCGUGAAGCGAUUCUUCUUGUCGGGUUGUGAAGCUUUGGGUCUUGGUUACGAGUAGGGAUGGUAUUGUUUGGCAGGCCAUAGGCGGCAGCGAUAGAUCCGGGUUAAGAAGACUUGGUGUCUUGGGUUCUUCAAGCGGACGGUAUCGGGUGGUUGCCGUGGGCAGCAGCGAUAUGUCUAGCUCACUGCUUAUUGCUAUUUAGGAGGUUUGCUACAUUGGAGUGUCUUAUGCUUAAGUGUAGUUGUGUUUAGGUUGCUGCGUUUAUUGCGGUUUGGUCUAUGUUUUAUCAAGGUUGUGUUGGUAAGUUGCCCUUGUUGUGGGUUUAAGCUGCUCCGUUGUGGGCUUUAGUUGCCUUUCUUUGGGCUUUGGUGUGUCCGACAUGUUGUGGGUCUAAGCUGCUCCGUUGUGAGCUUUAGUUGCCUUUUUUUGGGUUCUAAUAUGUCCAAAGGUGUUGUAUUAGGAUUUUACUUUUGAAAUAAUAUUAUCAGUGGAAAAAAAAAGAUUGUAAUUGCUAGCGAAAACCAAUUCCUUUUGGGAGAAAGGAGGGAAUUUGAGUACAACGGGGGUUUUUAAUAAAUCCUAAAGUACAAAUCCUUCACAAUUAACCAUAUAAUAUUAAUAUUAAACUCAUAUUGCUUAAGGAUCAAUCCUUCUUGAAGUUGGUUGGAUUGUGAAACUUUUGAAUAUGUGAUAAAUCUUUUUGCCAACGAUGGUUUGUAAUGGUAUAGGUAUAUAUUGACUCUACAAAGAGAAGACAACACGUAAGCAUUGAAAUCAGAAUUCACAUGUAAGUUUGUUUGUUUUGUUGAUUAGGUGUUUGGAGAGCUCUUCAUACCUACCAGCUUUAUAAUCUUUCAAUACCUUGAUAAACCACUUAAUAUGUUUGCACGUUCAUCAUGAAAUAGUCAAUGGUUUGAAAUUUCCCUGAACACCUUUAGUAUCUAAUCAAAUAAAAAAAGUUUUGUUCAUUAAAACACAGAUCAGAUUCAACACUGAAUCCCUCUACUAUAAGUCUAUACCAAAUCUAUUUACUACUUUUCUUCUUCUUUCACAACACUUUCAGAAUCGUUCAAGAAAUAGAACCAGAAGUAAUGGGCCAGGAAUGUAGAUAACAAAACGAGCCCAUUACUUCAAAACGUUGUCGUAUCAUAUGCAUAAAUAAAUAAACCCUAGGCUGUUUUGUUGCUUCAUCAUCCUUUAAAAGGCCACCUAGUCUUCAUUAACAAUAUCGCCGGUCUGAAACUUGUUCCUCUCGUCUCUCUUUUUUUUUUUUUUUUUCCUCAUAGCUUGAUUUUGUUUUAUUAUUAUGUUGCAAAGGAAAAUUGAUUAGAUUUUUUUUUGCUGGAAUGUGAAGCAUAGUAGAAUAUUCAGGUGAUGAGAUUUGAUCUAAAAUUCUCACGACGGUCGUCUGAGACUAUGUGUCGAUUGAUGUACCGAUCGCUCUUCUCUGAUGAAUAAACUUUCUUUAUUAUCAAAUCUUUUCUUUUUUGUUUUAGUAACCAUAAAUUUGUUAAUUCAUAUUUUUAGAAUUUUAUAUUCAGACUAGAGAGAGUCAUCUUCCUUUCGUUUUUGUUUAUCUUUGAUUGCGUAGGUAUAUACCAAAAGAGUUUUAGUGAUUAUCUCAUGUAAUUGAAGGAACUUUUGUAGAUGUCAAUAAUAAUUGUUAAAAAAUUCAUUGACUACGUUUACGUAUUCUACUCUCUUAAAUUAAUGGUGUUAGGGGAUUGUAAUGUGUUACAUUGUAUCGCGUAUUAUUGGAUUCGAACUCGACAAUGCAGAGGAAGAGCAAGUGGUGAGGAAGUCUUGCGGAAGCUAAGCAACUGUUUGGGAUUGGGAUAAAAAAAAGAAUCAAAAGGGUUAUGAAACAUAAAUCUAUAGUUUAACAACAUAAAUUACUCUGAACUUAUUAGGUUAACAGCAGUUUUGAUUCUCUUCUUAAAACCUUAUUUAUCAAAACACACAAAGUAAGUAUUUAUCAAAAAAACAACUGUCUUCUACAGGACCAUAACUGAAACCAAAAAUAGAAAAUGUAACCAGACAAGAAUGUCUCAAUAUGCACCUGAGCUGUGGGAGUUGUUGAAGAAAGACAACACAGUUGUUUACAUGUGACGUGGAGAAAAGGAUUUGAUGGUCUUAUUGGCUGCUAAUGACUGGUAAAAAGAGAGAGCUGGACUCUAAAUUUUGAAACCUCCAUUGCCUUUGCGAAGUGUCUUUUUGUGUGAUGGGUUUAGGUAUUGACUGGUUUUAUUAUAAGAAUCAGUUGAAGAAGACAUAGCAAUGGAACGUUGAAGUCUACUGAUUAGCAUCCGGUGGUCAUGUAUAUCGGAACAACAAGUGUAACCUUGGCGUCCAAGUUUCUGUAAUCUGAAUAGAAGUUAUGUUUUAGAUAAUAGUAUACGAAAAAGGUGCUCCAAUCUUUUACCAUCUCACUGACAUUACUUUGCUCUGAUACAAAUAGUACAUUGACAGAGAUUUUUUUUUUUUUUUUGGUGAUGUUAAAUUUAUUAUACUAAAAUUUUAUUUUUUUACAGAAGAACGAAGAAGACAAGUAGCGGAAAAACAGUAAUUAAACUAAACAGCAGGUCCGGCCCUUGGGUAGUGCCCAAAGUGCAUUUGCACUGGGUCCAAUUUGUUUUUUCAAUUUUUAGGUAAGGGUUAGGGCCCUUUUUUAAAAACUUUUAGGGUCCUAUUUUCAUAAAUUAUGUAUAUUAUUCUUAUACAAAUAAAAAUCUGCACAGAGGCCCAUAUAUUAUUGAGCCGGGCCUGCUAAACAGAGUACCUAUAAGAAUUUCUGAUUCUAAACAAAAGAAGAAAGAUCAAAGAGAAGGACCGGAAAUAGCGUAGCGUCAAUGGUCCAAAGCAAAGGUAUGAGCGGACUAAGUUCCCGGUUGUCGCGAGCUCCCGGAGAAAAAUGCACCCCUAAACCUUGAAGCACCGGGCAAAGGUCUACAGAUUCCAAAAAACUCAAUCAUCAACACCAACACAAAGAAACCUAUCACGGAACCGCAAGCCCGUUCAAAAUCGCCUCACCAGCAGCACGAGGAGGAGUUCACAGACCGACGGUACCGUCGUUCGGGAUGGUGAAGUGGAGAUUGCUGCCUCCAAUCCUCCAACCCCGGAACCGUAUACACCCAUUUAACCCACCGCACAUAUAGAGCAUGGGACACAUCGGGCACACCUCCUCCGGAGAAAACGACCUUUAAACUAGCAAGAGGACCGAUUGCUAAACUAACUCCUAUCCAUACUCAACAGACCACCACUUCUAAAGAAGCAUUACCUCCUACAGAUGACAGAGAGUUGUUCUCAGUUAACAGCAAUCUGUAUAUUAAUGGUAGAUGACCAAUUCUCUGACAAUGAGAUGAGACUUUUUUUUUGUCAACCGAUUAUGAGAUGAGACUAAUAUCCACGCAUCUUUUUUAAGCCAACCUUUUUUACCAUUUGAAUUGCCCAAAAAAUUCACAGAAGUGUUUGGUUGUAGGAAGGGGUUUAGUUUUUGAGUCCCAUAUUAUGAAAUAUUCAGUUGAAAAAGAAAAGAAUUCCCCAAAAAAGUCAGUUAGUUUUAGAGGGAAAAAGAUUAAAUAAAAUUGUCAGAAGUGGGAUUUGAACCCACGCCCUCUUUCGAAGACCAGAACUUGAGUCUGGCGCCUUAGACCACUCGGCCAUCCUGACAUCUUUGUUUAAGAGCAUCUAGGCUUUACAUAAUAAAUAAAACCUUAUUUUGCUUCUGUUAAUUAUAGUAACUCAUGAGUGGUAAAAUGCAGAAGGGGGAUCUGAAGGUUCUCAAGCUUUCAAAAAAAGUCGGCUGCAUCAUUGGCUUCAUUGCGAGUAAAUUGACGUUCAAAUAGUAAAUGAAAAUGGAUAAACUAUCUUUAGUAGGAGGCAUGUGAUUAUGGCCCUUGCUCAAUGUUAUAACAUCAAUAAACAUGAAACCAAUUACAAUUGCAGAACACAAGUUUACAAGGAACCUGACUGAAGAACAGCUUUGUAGAAAACCGAGCAAAGAUCAAAACUACAAAAAGAGAUGAUAAGGACUAAGAACUUUGGAAAGAGUAGCAUUCAACGGAUUUUCAUCUUCAUCUUUGUCUCCACCCCACUGGCAGCAGCUUCACAAAUCUUGUUCCAGCAACGGUAAGAAAUGAGUAAAGGUAUCAAGACCCACCAUCCAUUAGCACCAAUGUAGUAAGAGUAAUAGUAGAAAGAGCUUGUCGCAAAGUUAUCUCCUUCCAGAAAAGCAGUAGUGAAAUAGACAAGACAUCCGUAGAGCUGAC
Molecule: long non-coding RNA, 6533 nt
Filed under: Brassica napus (rape)
Lineage: Eukaryota; Viridiplantae; Streptophyta; Magnoliopsida; Brassicales; Brassicaceae
Description: long non-coding RNA (BNAP_LNC005051)
Rfam family: Small nucleolar RNA Z161/Z228 (bases 3631-3721)
Source: RNAcentral